AACAUGUUGUGGAUAUGUGGUGGUAUUGAACAUGUUGUGGAUAUGUGGUGGUAUUGAACAUGUUGUGUUGUGGAUAUGUGGUGGUAUUGAACAUGUUGUGGAUAUGUGGUGGUAUUGAACAUGUUGUGGAUAUGUUGUGGUAUUAAACAUGUUGUGUUGUGGAUAUGUGGUGGUAUUGAUUAUGUUAUGGAUAUGUUGUGGUAUUGAACAUGUUGUGGAUAUGUGGUGGUAUUGAACAUGUUGUGUUGUGGAUAUGUGGUGGUAUUGAACAUGUUGUGGAUAUGUGGUGGUAUUGAACAUGUGGAUAUGUUGUGGUAUUAAACAUGUUGUGUUGUGGAUAUGCGUUUGUAUUGAACAUUUUGUGGUAUUGAACAUGUUGUGGAUAUGUGGAUAUAUUGAACAUGUUGUGAACAUUGUGGAUAUGUGGUGGUAUUGAACAUGUUGUGGAUAUGUGGUGGUAUUGAACAUGUUGUGGAUAUGUGGAGGUAUUGAACAUGUUGUGGAUAUGUGGUGGUAUUGAACAUGUUGUGGAUAUGUGGUGGUAUUGAACAUGUUGUGUUGUGGAUAUGUGGUGGUAUUGAACAUGUUGUGUUGUGGAUAUGUGGUGGUAUUGAACAUGUUGUGUUGUGGAUAUGUGGUGGUAUUGAUUAUGUUAUGGAUAUGUUGUGGUAUUGAACAUGUUGUGUUGUGGAUAUGUGGAGGUAUUGAACAUGUUGUGGAUAUGUGGUGGUAUUGAACAUGUGGAUAUGUUGUGGUAUUAAACAUGUUGUGUUGUGGAUAUGCGUUUGUAUUGAACAUUUUGUGGUAUUGUACAUGUUGUGGAUAUGUGGUGGUAUUGAACAUGUUGUGGAUAUGUGGUGGUAUUGAACAUGUUGUGUUGUGGAUAUGUGGUGGUAUUGAACAUGUUGUGGAUAUGUGGUGGUAUUGAACAUGUUGUGGAUAUGUGGAGGUAUUGAACAUGUUGUGGAUAUGUGGAGGUAUUGAACAUGUGGUUAUGUGGAGGUAUUGAACAUGUUGUGGAUAUGUGGUGGUAUUGAACAUGUUGUGGAUAUGUGGUGGUAUUGAACAUGUUGUGUUGUGGAUAUGUGGUGGCAUUGAACAUGUAGUGGAUAUGUGGUGGUAUUGACCAUGUUGUGGAUAUGUGGUGGUAUUG
This is a long non-coding RNA of Oncorhynchus tshawytscha (Chinook salmon), 1153 nucleotides long. The record is from Ensembl. NCBI's taxonomy places the organism in Eukaryota, Metazoa, Chordata, Actinopteri, Salmoniformes, Salmonidae.